GAAGGAUUCGCGGUCGCUCGUCGGAAACCACGUGGAACAGUCCUUCGACCACGUGGAUACCGGGUUUUCCCGCCAGUUUUCUCCCUCCUCGAAGUUCUCGGUUUUUCACCCUUCUUUUACUAGAUUUACUAAAUUUUAGAACCCGGUGACGUGUUCCGAAAGAGGGACUUCGAAUAGUGUUCGCUUUUUUCUGGUGUGAACGCUCUGUAGCAUCCGAAUUACAGAAUUUUGAAAUUGGUCCGUGCUGCGCGGCCUACAUGGAAUUUAGAAUUGGCUGUUGUUCUAAAUCGGUAUUCCUUCCUCCGCUUUUUGGUAAACUUGUCAGUUUAUUAAAGCGAUACAUGCAUUGGCUGUCUUGAAGUUUGUCUCGUUUCGCUGCAUGUUCUAACGUGGGUGCGCGUGUGGAAAACCAGGAGUUGACUGUUUCUUUUGACAGGUUCACGCAGGAUUGCGAUGAUUUGAAUUUCACCCGAACAGUGGGGCGACGUCGCAGUCGGGAAUGAACAGGCCAUUAGCUGUCGAAUUUAUGGGCUAUAACGAGGGGUUCCCGCGGCGGCAAAUGAGCAUUGCACCUGGAGCAGCCCACCACCCAGCAUGUUCCCAGGAGCGGCGCCCGACCCCGGCCUCGCCGCCAAAGUGACCGCCACCACCGCUGUCCUCCUCGCGGCCCUCGCCCUCCUCCGCCUCCCCGCCGCCGAGGCCCAGCUCUACAACAACCCCAACUUCCGCUGCCCCUACAAGCCCAUCUGCGCAAGGUAAGGAUCACAUCAAUUUUUGGUGACAACAUUCCUGUUAUUUUCACAUUCAUUCCGUAAGGUAAUAACGAUAGAAUUUCUAUUCCUUACAUACUAUCUGACCAUUGCAAUUUAGAGCAUGGUAAAACAUUUUCACCAGUGUCUUAUAUCUUAUAAAUUAGUUGUUAUGUGUAAAAACUAACGUUAAAUAUAUUUAU
This 952-nucleotide long non-coding RNA is filed under the name Bemisia tabaci. Its description in RNAcentral is "lncRNA ENSSSA2NGG002774". Lineage: Eukaryota; Metazoa; Arthropoda; Insecta; Hemiptera; Aleyrodidae. The record is from RNAcentral.